This 507-nucleotide ribosomal RNA is filed under the name Longicaudinus corydalisicola. Its description in RNAcentral is "partial 16S ribosomal RNA". Lineage: Eukaryota; Metazoa; Arthropoda; Insecta; Hemiptera; Aphididae. The record is from RNAcentral.
AUUAAGUUUAAUUUAAUAUAGGAUCUGCUCAAUGAUUUAUUAAAUAGCUGCAGUAUUUUGACUGUGCAAAGGUAGCAUAAUAAUUAGUCUUUUAAUUGAGGACUUGUAUGAAAGAUUUGAUGAGAAAUAAACUUUAUUAUUUAUAUAAUUAAAAUUUUAUUUUUAAGUAAAAAAGCUUAAAUUAUUUAAAGGGACGAUAAGACCCUAUAAAACUUUAUAAAUAUUAAUUUUAAUUUUUUUGGAUUUAUAAAUGUUUUGAUUUUAUUAUUUAUUUUAUUGGGGUGAUAAAAAAAAUUAUUAAACUUUUUUUAAAAUUUUACAUUAUUUAUUGAGUAUUUGAAUUAAAAUUUUUAAUUAAAGGAAAAAGUUACUUUAGGGAUAACAGCGUAAUUAAUUUUUUAAGUUCAAAUUUAAAAAUUAGUUUGCGACCUCGAUGUUGAAUUAAGAUUAAUCUUAGGUGCAAAAUUUUAAGUAUUAGGUCUGUUCGACCUUUAAAUUCUUACGUGA